This is a long non-coding RNA of Medicago truncatula (barrel medic), 917 nucleotides long. RefSeq lists it as uncharacterized. NCBI's taxonomy places the organism in Eukaryota, Viridiplantae, Streptophyta, Magnoliopsida, Fabales, Fabaceae. The transcript is spliced from 3 exons. The record is from RefSeq and is a predicted model, not a curated record.
GGAGUAUCUUGAUUUGUGUUUUGGUUGGAUGUAUGGGGUGGAAAAGGCUAAAAUGAUAAUUGCUAAACUGCAUGAACUCAUAGGCAAAUUGUUUGAUUAUUACAAGUCAGUGCAGCCUAUUGGUUUUGUUUCUAGUGAUUCCUCCUCUAGCUCCACUAAUACAAUGCAAAGUGAUGUUGUUACUUUCGGUGUUGGAGGUAAUGUGGAUAUGGAUGCUUUGCACCGAAGAAGGGUUAAAAGAAGGCAAAGUGAACAUAACUCAAGUUAGUUGGUAAGAUACUUAGAAGAUGAGGUUGAAGAUGAUUAUGAAGGAUUUGAACUUUUGAAAUGGUGGAAAAGUAAGAGCACAAAGUACAUUGUUCUUUCUCUCAUGGCUAGGGAUAUAUUAGCGAUUCCGAUAUCUACUGUUUCUUCUGAGUCUGCCUUUAGCACUGGAGGUCGUGUUAUUGAUCCAUAUCGUAGUUCUUUGAAAGCUGAAACAGUUGAGGCUUUGAUCUGUACUCAAAAUUGGAUCAAGCCUGUCACAAGGUCUGUUUUAGAUGAAAGUAAAGCAUUUGAUGUGCUGGAAUUUGAAACAGAAAUGUCAUAUUUGAAUGGUCUCGAGGAGUUUGCAGCUGAAUCCCUUGACGAGUAACUAGUUUGGUGGAGAUGGAGAAUAUAAACGAUGAAGUCAGGACUCUUUUGAAUUGUGGGGAAUGUUAAUGAUGACAUCAAGACUCUUUUCUUGUUAUGUUUUGGGCUCUUUUUUGUAUUUGAUGAGACAUGAUUUUGGUUUAUUUUGACUUGGUUGUUGCAAUUUGUCUCUUGAACAUUUGUUGUUUUCUUUUGCCAAGACUUUAGCUAAUUUAAGAUGAUGCACUUUUUGAGUAUUUUUAUUCUAAUGCAAUUUUAUGUUAUGCAAUGUCUUUAAAUUUUUG